Molecule: ribosomal RNA, 239 nt
Filed under: uncultured bacterium
Lineage: Bacteria
Description: partial 16S ribosomal RNA
Rfam family: Bacterial small subunit ribosomal RNA
Source: RNAcentral
CCGGCGCACGGGUGAGUAACGCGUGGGUAACCUGCCUCAUACAGGGGGAUAACAGUUAGAAAUGACUGCUAAUACCGCAUAAGACCACAGCACCGCAUGGUGCGGGGGUAAAAACUCCGGUGGUAUGAGAUGGACCCGCGUCUGAUUAGCUAGUUGGUAAGGUAACGGCUUACCAAGGCGACGAUCAGUAGCCGACCUGAGAGGGUGACCGGCCACAUUGGGACUGAGACACGGCCCAA